GCGAGUGAAGCGGCAAAAGCUCAAAUUUGAAAUCUGGCCUCUGGUCCGAAUUGUAAUUUGAAGAAGCGACUCUGGUACCGGCCCUUGUCUAUGUUCCUUGGAACAGGACGUCACAGAGGGUGAGAAUCCCGUGCGAUGGGGUGUCCGGUGCUAUGUAGAGCGUUUUCGACGAGUCGAGUUGUUUGGGAAUGCAGCUCUAAGUGGGUGGUAAAUUCCAUCUAAAGCUAAAUAUUGGCGAGAGACCGAUAGCGAACAAGUACUGUGAAGGAAAGAUGAAAAGAACUUUGAAAAGAGAGUGAAAAAGUACGUGAAAUUGUUGAAAGGGAAGGGCUUGGGAUCAGACAUUGUAUUUCCAUGGCGCUCUCUCGGGGGUGUCCUCUGGGUUUACAGGGCCAGCAUGGGUUCUGCGGGCAAGAUGAGGGUUUGGGGAAUGUGGCUCUGCUUCGGCGGAGUGUUAUAGCCCUGGACACCGGUUGCCACGCGGGACCGAGGAUUGCGAAUCUAGGAUGCUGGCAUAAUGAUCUUAAGCCGCCC
RNAcentral lists this ribosomal RNA (534 nucleotides) under Suhomyces chickasaworum. RNAcentral describes it as "eukaryotic LSU rRNA". It matches the Rfam family "Eukaryotic large subunit ribosomal RNA", at positions 89 to 650 of the family's 3401-position model. The record is from RNAcentral. Lineage: Eukaryota; Fungi; Ascomycota; Pichiomycetes; Serinales; Debaryomycetaceae.